GCUUACAGGUAAACUUCAUCCGGACUCCUACGAGAGCCGGACUUCACCCUCAACUCCGAUUGCAGGUAGACUCCGUCCGGACUCCUACGGGAGCCUGACUUCGCACCUGACUUUAAUUCCAGGUAGACUCUGCCCGGACUCCUAGGGAGCCGGACCUCGUCCCCAGCUCCAGCUAUGGGACGACUCCGUCCGGACUCCUACGGGAGUCAGACUUCGCCCCC
This 221-nucleotide long non-coding RNA is filed under the name Elaeis guineensis (African oil palm). RNAcentral's name for it is "long non-coding RNA (EGUI_LNC014707)". Lineage: Eukaryota; Viridiplantae; Streptophyta; Magnoliopsida; Arecales; Arecaceae. The record is from RNAcentral.